This 471-nucleotide long non-coding RNA is filed under the name Phoenix dactylifera (date palm). Its description in RNAcentral is "long non-coding RNA (PDAC_LNC000485)". Lineage: Eukaryota; Viridiplantae; Streptophyta; Magnoliopsida; Arecales; Arecaceae. The record is from RNAcentral.
UUUCACCUUCAUCGUUGUAGCCCGCGGACAUGGCGGGUGCCAUAAGAGAUGGCGCCUACCAGGUGUUUGAUGAAAUGGCGCACCUGAUCAAUCCGUCAAAAGACAAGGAUGAUGCCUUCCCCUGACAUCACAGCUAAUCUUCAGAUGAUCCGAGAUGACGAUCGCCUGAAAAGCACCCCGAGUUGGUCUAUAGAUAAAUAUCUUCUGAGCGAUGAUGGAUAUAAAGAAGAAUAAAGCGGUCCCCCCAGCUUUCCAAAAGAUGGUACCAUUAAAUUCAAGGAAAAUGUUGUGAGGAGUCCAGUCCAGGAGGCACACAUCCAACUACUAUUCUCUCUGUGAGGUCCCGUGGGGUUCAUGCUGGCGAGCAUCAACCCUCGCUGAAGAGAUUUUUGUUAACUCUUUUUCUCGGUGAUUACUGGGAUGAUACAUGUUAUGAUCUUGAAGAAUUUGUCACAGAAUUCCUGAUCCAAG